This 485-nucleotide ribosomal RNA is filed under the name Fusarium stilboides. RNAcentral's name for it is "eukaryotic LSU rRNA". It matches the Rfam family "Eukaryotic large subunit ribosomal RNA", at positions 116 to 624 of the family's 3401-position model. Lineage: Eukaryota; Fungi; Ascomycota; Sordariomycetes; Hypocreales; Nectriaceae. The record is from RNAcentral.
UGAAAUCUGGCUCUCGGGCCCGAGUUGUAAUUUGUAGAGGAUGUUUUUGAUGCGGUGCCUUCCGAGUUCCCUGGAACGGGACGCCAUAGAGGGUGAGAGCCCCGUCUGGUUGGAUGCCAAAUCUCUGUAAAACUCCUUCAACGAGUCGAGUAGUUUGGGAAUGCUGCUCUAAAUGGGAGGUAUAUGUCUUCUAAAGCUAAAUACCGGCCAGAGACCGAUAGCGCACAAGUAGAGUGAUCGAAAGAUGAAAAGCACUUUGAAAAGAGAGUUAAAAAGUACGUGAAAUUGUUGAAAGGGAAGCGUUUAUGACCAGACUUGGGCUUGGUUAAUCAUCUGGGGUUCUCCCCAGUGCACUUCUCCAGCUCAGGCCAGCAUCAGUUUUCCCCGGGGGAUAAAGACUUUGGGAAUGUGGCUCCCUUCGGGGAGUGUUAUAGCCCAUUGUGUAAUACCCUGGGGGGGACUGAGGUUCGCGCAUCUGCAAGGAU